CGGCCGCCGAACCUCAAGUUCGGCUGCCGAACAUGCAUGCAUUUCGGGAGUGCUUUAGGCCCCCGAAGGCAUGAGUGAGGGAAGUCCAGGUUCGGCCGCCGAAUAUGGCAUGCAUGCGGAGGCAUGUUAGGCCCCCGAAAGUGGCCUGGCCAGCCACCUAUAAAGGGGUCCCCAUGUCCGAACGGGUGAGCUUUUCUCCUCGUUUUCGGCCAAGGUGAGUUCUCCGCCGUCUCUCAUCGAUUUUGAGUUUCUUCCUUCGAAUCUUCAUGAUUUUCUUAUGAGUUUUCACUUGGUUUGAAGAUAUUUGAGCAAAAGAGCAAGUUUUGAAGAGAAGUGAUUUCUCCCCAUCUCCAAGCUAGGAUCAUCUUUCCUCUCGAUCUUCAAGAGGUAAGCUUAGAUCCAACCUUCCUUGUAUGUUUUAAACAAGUUUUAUGAAGAUCUAUGGGGUAGAAAUGCAUGUUAGGUUAUUUUUGAGUUUAUGGGUUUAUGUUGAGUUUUUUAGCAAUGUGGGUUGUUUAUGCAUGUUUGAUGUGCUUUGGUUGGGGUUUAGGUUAGUUUGAGACCCCUUUAUGCUUGUUGGCUUGAGUUGCUUGUUGUAGAAUAGGUAAAUGCAUGAUGGAAUGGAUUGGAAGGCAUUUGUGCAUGACAGAGGCUGAUUUCUGCCCUUUGGAAGAAAUCAGGUUCGGCAGCCGAAGGAACUUUCGGCCGCCGAACCUGCCUGUUGAGGCAAGCCUUUGGCUGCCGAACCCUGCCCCCGAAAGAUGACUUUCGGCUCUGGAAGGGAGUUUCGGCCGUCGAAGGUGCCGCCGAACAUGCAUGAGUUUCAUCUCUGGAGAGAACCUUCGGCCGCCGAAAGUGCCGCCGAAGGUGCAUGACUUUCGGCUCUGGAGGGACUUUCGGCCGCCGAACCUGCCGCCGAAAGUGCCCUGUUCAGCCCUCCUUUGCAUGAUUUCUAUGAUUGUUUUAAGGUGUUUUAGGAGGUUUUUGGGGAGUAUUUUAAAGUCAUGUCCUUGAGUGUUUGGUCCCUCAUUUGAGUCCACCUGUGUAGGUUCGGACCCGAGGAACCGAGGACCCCAGCAGUGAGCUAGCAGCUUUAGAGUCAGCCUGAAGUGAGUAGAAUAAACCUUUAUGUUUUAAUUUAAUGAAAGUUUUGGCAUAACUCAUGCAUCACAAAUGCCAUGUGAUAUUCUAGGUUGUUGCAUUAGAAAUUCACGAAUAUGUUGCAUUGCAUAUUAUGUUGUUGAUGUGGAUGAACAUUGAAUGAUCCAUUAACCCUCAAUAUGAGAUGAGAUGACAUGAUAUGAUAUGAUACGGUAUGAAAGCCCAGUGGGACCCAUUCUACGUUCGCUGGCACAGUAUAAGAGAAAGACCAGGACCCAUUUUAUAUUCUGGCACUUUGGAAUGUUGUGUUUAAGUGAAAGACCAGGACCCAUUCUACGUUGGAUAGUCUUUCAUGGGAGGAGUUUGCAAACGAGUUUGCAGGAUGGGCUUUCCCUGACAGUUCAAGGGAGUUGAAGAUGAUUCAAUUUGAGCAGUUGUGUAAUACCCGGCUAGACUCCGGUAUCGGAAUUCCUACCGUCCGGUGGAAUCUCAGAUGUCGGAAGCCUCUAGUAGGGUAGAAACAUGUUUUCAUAAAAUGUUUUAAGGUAUUUCAUGGUUUUAAGUAAAAUGGAAAUGAGUUUUUGCAUAAAAACAAUCUUGGAGGAACACUCAGGUUCGGCCGUCGAACAUACAUGCCUUCGGGAGCGCCUUUAGGCCUCCGAAAGCAUAAGCGAGGAAAGUCCAGGUUCGGCCGCUGAACCUCAAGUUCGGCCGCCGAACAUGGCAUGCAUGCGGAGGCACGUUCGGCCCCCGAACGUGGCCUGGCCAGCCACUAUAAAAGGGUCCCUUAGCCGAAAACGGGUGAGCUUUUUUUCCAUUUCCGGCCAAGGUGAGCUCUCCGCCGUCCCUCAUCGAUCUUGAGUUCUUUCCUUCCAAUCCUACUCGAUUUUCAUGAGUUUUUACUUUGUUUUGAAGAUUUUCAAGCUUUGAGCAAGUUUUUGGAGCUUUGAGGUUCACGGGAACUCAACCCCUCCCAUCUUCGAGUUUAGGUCGUCUCUCUCUCGAUCUCCACGAGGUAAGAGCCGAUCUUAAGCUCAUUGCAUGUUUUAAGUAAGUUUUAAGUGGAUCCAUGGGGUAGAAUGCAUGUUUAGCUCAUGGUUAGGUUUAUGGGUUUUAUAUGUGUUUAUGAACAAUGUGAGUUGCUGGAUGUGUUGUAGUUGGGGUUUUUGUUGGUUUGAUGCCCCUAGGAACUUGUAUGCUUGUUUGUGUAUGUUGGGAAUGUUGUAGAAUAGGUUUAUGCUUGAUUGGAUAGUUUUGGAGGCAAAUGUGCAUUGAAGAGCUGGGUUUCUGCCACUAGGGGAGAAACCAGGUUCGGCAGCCGAAGGAACUUUCGGCCGCCGAACGUGCUUGUGGAGGCAGCCUUCGGCUGCCGAAGCUUGCCCCCGAAAGGAGACUUUCGUCUCUGUCUGGGAGUUUCGGUCGCCGAAAGUGCCGCCGAACAUGCAUGAGUUUAGCCUCUGUCUGGGAGUUUCGGCCGCCGAAGGUGCCGCCGAACCUGCCUAACUUUCGGCUCUGGAGGGACUUUCGGCCGCCGAACCUGCCGCCGAAAGUGCCCUGUCCAGCCCUCUCUUGCAUGUUUCUCUAUGAUUGUUUCAUGAUGUUUUAGGGGUUUUUGGGGAGUAGUUUAGAGUUAUGAUCGUGUUUGUUUGGUCCCUCAUUUGAGUCCACCUGUGUAGGUUCGGACCCGAGGAACCGAGGACCCCAGCAGUGAGUCAGCUGCUCCGGUGUCUGGUCAGAGCUAUCCAGAAGUGAGUGGAAUAAACCUUUAUGUUUUUAAGCAAAUUAAUCGUAUAGUUUUGAGCAUGUUCAUGCAUCAUGAAUGCCAUGUGAUGUUUUAGGUUGUUUGCAUUAGAAUCCACGAAUAUGUUGCAUUGCACAUUUUAAUGUUGAUGUGGAUGAAUGUUGGAUGAUCCAUAGCCCUCGAUCUAUGAUGUGACGAUGUGAUAUGUACGGUACGGAAUGUAAGACCAGUGGGACCCAUUCUACGUUCGCUGGCACUAUGUAAGAGAAAGACCAGGACCCAUUCUACGUUCUGGCACAGUUGGACCAUGUUAUGUUAUGCUAUGUAAGAGAAAGACCAGGACCCAUUCUACAUUCUGGCACAAUUGGACUAUGUAGAGGGCUAUUGGUGACAAGUUCAUCCUUGAUGUGAUUAGUUGUGAUGUGAUGCAUUCCAUGAUCCAUAUGAUUUAAAUGUUUUUAUUAUUCUGCUCAGUGGGCUCUAGUAGCUCACCCCUCUCCCAUUUUUCCCAGGAUUGCAGGUACAGGGUAGACCAGGAGAUCCGUAAGAGUAAUGAAGUCAUGUGUAUGUAAUAGAUAGUGUGGACAUGAUAAAUGCAUUAAUGUUAUGUAAAAGUACAGUUUUAGGUAUGUAAUGACUUUGAGGAUUAGAGGUUGUGCUUGACUAUAUGUAUAAGAUAUCCCUUUUAAUACAUGAUCUUAGAUAUUUUAUUAUGAUUAUGCAAACCAACUCAACUUAUGAUGUAUCGCCCAUUGGGGCAUUGAUGAGAUCCCAAAGAGGGGUCAUGAUUAUGAUUAUGUUUAUGUAUAGUGCAUGCACAGGUUGAGUUUGGUGUAUGAACGAAAGAAAAGUUUUAAAUUUUUAUGUAUUUUCUUGAUCAUGUAUGGGAUUAAACAGGUUUUCAGGUUGCAUGUUAGGCUUGCUACGGGUCUUGGCGGCCUUAAGUCGACCCGGAUCCUAGCGCCGGUAGCGGUCCGAUUUUCGGGUCGUUACAAGUUGAGGCAAUCAGAGGAGAUGAGUGUGGAUGAGUAUACAGACAGGUUUUUGGAACUGUUGCCGUUUGCUGGGCAAAAUCUGGACACAGAUCAGAAGAAGUCAAGGAGGUAUAUCAUGAGGCUCCAUUCCAGGUAUUCCUCCUUGAUCCAGUCAGCAGAGAGGGAGAGUUUCCAUGCCAUAGUGGAUAUGGCUCGGAGGAUGGAGGCUAGUGCAAUAAUCGAAGGGAAAGUCAAGAAGUCAGUAGCACAGCCUUCUGGUUCCAAGACCCCAGGUGGGGGAAAGUUAGACCCUUCUUCUUUGAGUGCAGCAGCUUCAGGCAGUAAGAGGUGGGGUAAUACCACCAAGAAGUCAAAGAAGAACAAGUUUUGGAAUAAGAUCAAGUCAGGUCUGGGAUUAGGAAGUGGCUCGAGCUCAGGUGCAGAUAAUGCAGUAUGUAUGAAGUGUGGGAAGCCGCACAAAGGAGUAUGUCGAUUUGGGACGACAGCCUGCUUCAGAUGUGGGCAGGAGGAACACAUGGCACGGGAGUGUCCUAGAGCAGCUUUUGUGGCACAGUCCCAGCAGACAGCUUCUGGUAGUGUGGCUCAACCAGUAGCUCCAGCUGCGACUCAGGCUAGUGGCAGAGGCAGAGGGAGAGGGGCAGCCUCUUCUUCAGCGGGUUUCAGGGGUGAAGGUCCAUCAGCUCCAGCACGGAUCUUCACUAUGACUCAGCAGGAGGCAAAUGCAUCAAACACAGUGGUGUGAGGUAAUCUCAUCAUUGGUUGUUCUGAUGUUUAUGCCUUAAUGGACCCUGGUGCAUCGCAUUCUUUUAUUGCUCCGAGAGCCAUCGAGAGGUUGGGGUUGAUGGUCUCUGGGUUAGAGUGUCCCCUAUGGGUCAGUGGACCCAAGUGUGACCCGUCAGUGGCAGAGUCAGUCUGCCAGUGUAGUCCAGUUUUCGUUGAGGGAAGAUGCCUUUCAGCCGACCUUGUGAUUCUAGAUUUGACAGAUUUUGACAUCAUUCUAGGGAUGGGUUGGCUAUCUACCCAUAGUGCUACCUUGGACUGCAGAGACAAGGUAGUCAAGUUCAGAUGUCAGGAUGGGUCAGAGGUUGUCUUCAGAAGAGACAGGGGGAGUAUACCUAGAGGUUUGAUAUUAGCCCUUCAGGCUCGUAGGUUGCUCAGGAGGGGUUGUCAGGGUUUUCUAGCUCAUGUGAGAGAGCUGGAUAAUCAUGUUAAAGAGCCCGCCUCUGUGCCGGUGGUCAGUGAGUUUUUAGACGUUUUUCCAGACGAGCUGCCAGGUUUACCACUUGCUAGGGAGAUAGAGUUUGAAAUUGAGUUGAUGCCUGGAACCAGACCGAUCUCUAUCCCUCCCUACAGGAUGGCACCAGCAGAAUUGAAGGAGCUUAAGGAGCAGUUGCAAGAGUUGGUAGAUAGAGGCUUCAUCCGACCGAGUACCUCACCUUGGGGUGCUCAAGUGUUGUUUGUGAAAAAGAAGGAUGGGUCCCUCCGACUUUGUAUCGACUACAGACAGUUGAACAAGGUCACUACCAAGAAUAAGUACCCUUUGCCAAGGAUCGACGAUCUAUUCGACCAGCUAGCAGGAGCAGGUUGUUUCUCCAAGAUAGAUCUGAGAUCAAGAUACCAUCAACUGAGGAUAAGAGAAGAGGAUGUGCCGAAGACAGCAUUCAGGACCAGAUAUGGGCACUAUGAGUUCCUUGUGAUGUCGUUCGGGUUAACCAAUGCCCCUGCAGCAUUCAUAGAUCUCAUGAACAGAGUUUUCAGUCAAUACCUAGAUCACUUUGUUAUUGUCUUCAUAGAUGAUAUCUUAGUAUAUUCCAGGAAUGCAGAGGAGCAUGCCCAUCAUCUGAGAUUAGUUCUGCAGACCUUGAGGGAACACGGCUUGUAUGCCAAGUUCUCCAAGUAUGAGUUCUGGCUGAGGAGCAUUUCAUUCUUGGGGCAUGUUGUGUCAGAAAAUGGAAUCGAAGUGGACCCCAAGAAGGUGGAAGCCGUAGCUAACUGGCCUAGACCCACUACAGUGACAGAGAUCAAAAGCUUCUUGAGUUUGGCAGGUUACUAUAGGAGGUUCGUCCAGGACUUCUCUAAGAUUGCAGCUCCUAUGACCAGACUGACUAAGAAGAACCAGAAGUUUGUGUGGACCGACCAAUGUGAAGAGACCUUUGAAGAGCUAAAGAAGAGGUUGACUUCAGUACCGGUGUUAGCUCUGCCAACUAGUAAUGAAGACUUCACGGUUUUCUGUGAUGCGUUCCGUGUGGGACUGGGUUGUGUGCUGAUGCAGAAUGAAAGGGUGAUUGCUUAUACUUCUAGGCAGCUGAAGAAGCAUGAGUUGAAUUACCCUACACAUGACCUAGAAAUGGUAGCGGUAAUCUUUGCACUCAAGAUGUGGAGGCAUUACCUUUAUGGGUUAAAAUGUGAGAUCUUUACAGAUCAUAAGAGCCUGCAGUACAUCUUGAGUCAGAGGGAAUUGAAUAUGAGGCAGAGAAGAUGGGUAGAGCUGCUUAGUGACUAUGAUUGCAAGAUCUAGUACCAUCCGGGUAAGGCGAAUGUUGUGGCAGAUGCCUUAAGCCGAAAAUCACUUGGCAGUUUGUCCCAUAUUUCAGCAGAGAGAAGACCAGUGGUGAGGCAGUUCUUCGAGCUCAUUAAUGAAGGUCUACAGUUGGAGUUGUCUAGUACUGGUGCUUUGAUAGCCCAGAUGAGAGUAACACCUGUGUUUCUGGAGCAGGUGGCUCAGAAACAGCAUGAGGACCCAGAGUUAGUGAAGAUUGCCAGGACUGUUCAGUCAGGCAAGAAUGAAGAGUUCAAAUUUGACAGCAAGGGGAUCCUCCGCUAUGGGAAUAGAUUGUGUGUACCAGAUGACGUGGGUCUAAAGGGAGACAUUAUGAGAGAGGCUCAUAAUGCCAGAUACAGUGUUCACCCCGGAGCCACCAAAAUAUAUCAAGAUCUGAAGAGAGUGUAUUGGUGGCCAGCUAUGAAAAGAGAAGUGGCACAGUUUGUGUCAGCCUGCGAAAUAUGUCAGAGGGUGAAGCUGGAACAUCAGAAGCUGGCUGGAAUGCUGAACCCACUACCUAUUCCAGAGUGGAAAUGGGAGAAUAUAGCUAUGGACUUCAUGGUGGGGCUACCGGUGGCGUCCAACAGAUUGGACUCCAUAUGGGUGAUUGUGGACAGAUUGACCAAAUCUGCUCACUUCAUCCUUGUCAGGAGUGGCUAUUCUGUGGACAAGUUGGCGCAGGUGUAUGUUGACGAGGUUGUCAGGUUGCAUGGGGUUCCUGUUUCAAUAGUGUCUGAUAGAGGGCCCCAGUUCACCUCCAGGUUUUGGCGGAGUCUGCAGAACGCUAUGGGUACCAUGUUGGAGUUUAGCACUGCUUUCCAUCCACAGACGGACGGACAGUCAGAGAGGACCAUCCAGACUAUAGAAGAUAUGCUCAGAAUGUGUGUGCUGGAUUUUGGCGGUUCUUGGAGGCAGCAUCUAUCUCUAGUGGAGUUUGCCUACAAUAACAGCCAUCAUGCUAGCAUAGGGAUGGCUCCAUAUGAGGCUCUGUAUGGAAGGAAGUGCAGGUCGCCUGUCUGUUGGGAAGAAGUUGGAGAAAAGGCCUUAGCGGGGCCUGAGCUAGUAGAGAUCACCAGCAGAGUGGUGCCCAUAAUCAGAGAAAGGAUCAAGAAUGCUGCAAGCAGGCAAAAGAGUUAUGCAGAUAUCCGCAGAAGGCAAGUAGAGUUUCAGGAGGGGGAUUUGGUAUUGCUCAAAGUGUCUUCAAUGAAAGGGGUGAUUCGGUUCGGGAAGAAAGGUAAGCUAGCUCCACGGUACAUCGGACCCUUUGAGAUCUUGCAAAAGAUCGGGAAUGUAUCGUACAAGUUGGACUUACCUGCUUCAAUGGAGAAAAUUCAUCCGGUUUUCCAUGUUUCUAUGUUGAGGAAAUUCGUGUCAGAUCCGGGCAAGGUUCUUAGUGAACCUGAUGUGGAGAUCCAAGAAGAUCUCACUUAUGUUGAGCAGCCAGUACGGAUCCUAGACACCCAGAUCAGGAAGCUAAGGAACAAGGAAAUCCUGAUGGUGAAAGUCCUUUGGAAUCACCACAACAUCGAAGAGUGUACCUGGGAGACACGGGAGUCCAUGCUCCAGCAAUAUCCUCAUCUCUUCUAAGGUGAGUUUUAUGUGUUUUGUAUGAAUGUUGAUGAUUUAUGCUUUGUAUGUUCAUGUUCUAUGCUUUUCAUGUGUUAUUUGGUGAAUAUUCGGGGACGAAUGUUCUUAAGGGGGGAAGAAUGUAAUACCCGGCUAGACUCCAGUAUCGAAAUUCCUACCGUCCAGUGGAAUCUCGGAUGUCGGAAAUCUCUAGAAGGGUAAAACCAUGUUUUCAUAAAAUGUUUUAAUAUAUUUUAUGGUUUUAAGCAAGAAAGGAAAUGAGUUUUGUAUGAAAAUAACCUUGGAGGAAGACCCAGGUUCGGGCGCCGAACCUCAAGUUCGGUUGCCGAACAUGCAUGCAUUUCGGGAGUGCUUUAGGCCCUCGAAGGCAUGAGUGAGGGAAGUCCAGGUUCGGCCGCCGAACCUUAUGUUCGGCUGCCGAACAUGGCAUGCAUGCGGAGGCACGUUAGGCCCCCGAAAGUGGCCUGGCCAGGGACCUAUAAAGGGGUCCCCAUGUCCGAACGGGUGAGCUUUUCUCCUC
Molecule: long non-coding RNA, 8486 nt
Filed under: Manihot esculenta (cassava)
Lineage: Eukaryota; Viridiplantae; Streptophyta; Magnoliopsida; Malpighiales; Euphorbiaceae
Description: long non-coding RNA (MESC_LNC011888)
Source: RNAcentral